Molecule: ribosomal RNA, 301 nt
Filed under: uncultured bacterium
Lineage: Bacteria
Description: partial 16S ribosomal RNA
Rfam family: Bacterial small subunit ribosomal RNA
Source: RNAcentral
CAGUCGCCACGGGAAUACGUAGGGUGCAAGCGUUAAUCGGAAUUACUGGGCGUAAAGCGUGCGCAGGCGGUUAUAUAAGACAGAUGUGAAAUCCCCGGGCUCAACCUGGGAACUGCAUUUGUGACUGUAUAGCUAGAGUACGGCAGAGGGGGAUGGAAUUCCGCAUGUAGCAGUGAAAUGCGUAGAUAUGCGGAGGAACACCGAUGGCGAAGGCAAUCCCCUGGGCCUGUACUGACGCUCAUGCACGAAAGCGUGGGGAGCAAACAGGAUUAGAUACCCCCGUAGUCCCUGUCUCUUAUAC